GAUCUGGCUCAGGAUGAACGCUAGCGACAGGCUUAACACAUGCAAGUCGAGGGGCAGCAUGAUUUGUAGCAAUACAGAUUGAUGGCGACCGGCGCACGGGUGAGUAACGCGUAUGCAACUUACCUAUCAGAGGGGGAUAGCCCGGCGAAAGUCGGAUUAAUACCCCAUAAAACAGGGGUCCCGCAUGGGAAUAUUUGUUAAAGACUCAUCGCUGAUAGAUAGGCAUGCG
This 229-nucleotide ribosomal RNA is filed under the name uncultured bacterium. Its description in RNAcentral is "partial 16S ribosomal RNA". It matches the Rfam family "Bacterial small subunit ribosomal RNA", at positions 15 to 235 of the family's 1533-position model. The record is from RNAcentral.